Molecule: ribosomal RNA, 433 nt
Filed under: uncultured bacterium
Lineage: Bacteria
Description: bacterial SSU rRNA
Rfam family: Bacterial small subunit ribosomal RNA
Source: RNAcentral
GACGAACGCUGGCGGCGCGCCUAACACAUGCAAGUCGAACGGAGCAUUGAGAGCUUGCUUUUAAUGCUUAGUGGCGAACGGGUGAGUAACGCGUGAGUAACCUGCCCUGGAGUGGGGGACAACAGUUGGAAACGACUGCUAAUACCGCAUAAGCCCACGGCCCGGCAUCGGGCUGAGGGAAAAGGAUUUAUUCGCUUCAGGAUGGACUCGCGUCCAAUUAGCUAGUUGGUGAGGUAACGGCCCACCAAGGCGACGAUUGGUAGCCGGACUGAGAGGUUGAACGGCCACAUUGGGACUGAGACACGGCCCAGACUCCUACGGGAGGCAGCAGUGGGGGAUAUUGCACAAUGGGGGAAACCCUGAUGCAGCGACGCCGCGUGGAGGAAGAAGGUUUUCGGAUUGUAAACUCCUGUCGUUAGGGACGAUAAUGACG